UGAGCAAUCUGCCCUUCUCUUCGGAAUAAGCGUUGGAAACGACGUCUAAUGCCGAAUACGACCUCCUUUCGCAUGAUCGGAGGUGGAAAGCUCCGGCGGAGAAGGAUGAGCUCGCGGCCUAUCAGCUAGUUGGUGUGGGUAAUGGCUCACCAAGGCGACGACGGGUAGCCGGCCUGAGAGGGUGACCGGCCACACUGGGACUGAGACACGGCCCAGACUCCUACGGGAGCAG
Molecule: ribosomal RNA, 232 nt
Filed under: uncultured bacterium
Lineage: Bacteria
Description: partial 16S ribosomal RNA
Rfam family: Bacterial small subunit ribosomal RNA
Source: RNAcentral